CAUUUUCCCGAAAACUAGAUGAGAAAAUGUUGGUACUAACCAAAUUCUCUAGGCAAUACCGUUUCAAUUUCUGCAGGUUAGUAACACUGUUAAAGUAGUAAAUCCAAGGUUUGCAGAGUCGGUUUUGACGUAUGCGCGCGUAUAUGUCAAACAAUAAAUAUUAUAUAAAUGAUUUAUGACAUUUGAUUUAAUAAAUGAAUAAAAAUUACACAAAUAACUAAAAAUAUAGUGCAUAGAGAUGAACAAGACAAGAUUUAUGAUUGAAAUCUGGUUUUCCAUAUUAAAAUCAUUGUCAGCCGAGAAACAAAAUCUGUGCAAGAUAAAAUAGAAACAUAAAGAAGGAAGAGGGAAAGAAAUAAAUGGAGAAUAAACAAAUAUAUAUCAGAUAAGUAGCUAAUAUCUUUAUAAAAAAUUAUGUAUUCUAUAUGUGCUUUUUGUAGAUGAACCGAUUCUUUUCUUGAAUUAAUUUUUUGUUUCAGCUUUUUAGCCAAUUGUAGAAUGUUGACAGCUGGACCACCAGAGAACAAUUUCUUGCCGAAUAAAGCUGUCAAAUUCUAAGCCUGCUACUUCUUCGAGUAUGUCAAAAUUGUGAGCAAAAAAGUUGAAAUUAUAUUGUAACAUCAAUUAGAUUUAUCAACGGUGGAGUAACAGAUUGAUACAACAAACUGAGAGCAGGUUUGUCGAAAUUGUUUGUUCUACAAAGCAUAUGUGCUGUUUGUCUCAGCAAUGUACCGACAUUAUUUAAACUAAAAGAGAUCCCAGAUAGCACGGAGAGUUUAAAGAACUCAAUUGUACGUCACCAAUUAUGUUACCAAUUAUGAAUUCUUUUUGAAUCUCUGUGCUAUCUGGGAUACUAUUGUGUUUAUCGUCAACCUGUCAUGAACGCUUUCGAUAGACCUGCUCAUUGUUUACUGUUAUUUUGUUAUAUAGUCUGCUGAUCGGUAUACACCUUUUAUCUUUCAGCAAACAGAAAAUGUGCUACCUACAUUGGCUUUUACAAGAAUGGGUUUAGAAGUAGCGAUGGAUGCUUGUCCAACAAUCGAAGAUCAUUUCAUAAGUGAAUACACUAUUUGAUGUAAAAUAAACCAAAAUUAUCUUUUUAAAAACGGUAAAAAA
Molecule: long non-coding RNA, 1116 nt
Filed under: Monomorium pharaonis (pharaoh ant)
Lineage: Eukaryota; Metazoa; Arthropoda; Insecta; Hymenoptera; Formicidae
Description: uncharacterized LOC118647065
Source: RNAcentral